RNAcentral lists this unclassified non-coding RNA (293 nucleotides) under Hevea brasiliensis (rubber tree). Lineage: Eukaryota; Viridiplantae; Streptophyta; Magnoliopsida; Malpighiales; Euphorbiaceae. The record is from RNAcentral.
UUUGGCUUUCUUGGGAUUAUAAACUAAACCUGUUUGUGGGUUUCAAGGCACCGUUCUUGAAGUUCGCAUCACUUCCACCAUUAUUUUCCCUCUCCCUCCUCUUUUUUUUCUUUGUUUUUUUUUUCAUUUACUUUUCUAUCAUAGUUGUCAAGUUAUGAUAUUUUACAUUAAUAUAUUCUCAACUUUUAAUAUAUUCUUGACUUUCUAAUGUAUCCUGUUGUCCUUUUUUAUUAUUUAAUUAUUUUAUCAAAUUUAAAUGAGAGUUUCAACACAUGAUAAUCAUUGUCUACAAC